This 497-nucleotide ribosomal RNA is filed under the name uncultured bacterium. RNAcentral describes it as "partial 16S ribosomal RNA". It matches the Rfam family "Bacterial small subunit ribosomal RNA", at positions 28 to 507 of the family's 1533-position model. The record is from RNAcentral.
GAUGAACGCUGGCGGCGUGCCUAUUACAUGCAAGUCGAGCGAACGGACGAGAAGCUUGCUUCUCUGAUGUUAGCGGCGGACGGGUGAGUAACACGUGGAUAACCUACCUAUAAGACUGGGAUAACUUCGGGAAACCGGAGCUAAUACCGGAUGAUAUUUUGAACCGCAUGGUUCAAAAGUGAAAGACGGUCUUGCUGUCACUUAUAGAUGGAUCCGCGCUGCAUUAGCUAGUUGGUAAGGUAACGGCUUACCAAGGCAACGAUGCAUAGCCGACCUGAGAGGGUGAUCGGCCACACUGGAACUGAGACACGGUCCAGACUCCUACGGGAGGCAGCAGUAGGGAAUCUUCCGCAAAGGGCGAAAGCCUGACGGAGCAACGCCGCGUGAGUGAUGAAGGUCUUCGGAUCGUAAAACUCUGUUAUUAGGGAAGAACAUAUGUGUAAGUAACUGUGCACAUCUUGACGGUACCUAAUCAGAAAGCCACGGCUAACUACGUG